ACGACUUUAACAUGGUAUCAGAGC
Molecule: non-coding RNA, 24 nt
Filed under: Arabidopsis thaliana (thale cress)
Lineage: Eukaryota; Viridiplantae; Streptophyta; Magnoliopsida; Brassicales; Brassicaceae
Source: RNAcentral